AUGGGAAUGUGUUGUCUUUUAUUCCUCCCUGUAUUAGGAGUUUGGAACUGUGAGAUACUGAGAUCCCUUUCCCUUAUCCAAAUUGACCUGUUGCAUGUACACGGUGAACGUUUGAAACCUAACUUUAUUUUCUCCAUUGGAGUUUCCAUACCAUUUAUUUUUAUUUAUGUAGUAAUCUGGAUGCAUUCUUUACAUAUAUUUUUUAUAUUAUAUCUUUUUUUCUUGUUGACAGUUGAGGUGAGGAAGCAAAGUUCAUGUUCGGUCCAUCUUGUGAACAGAACAGAUGAGUAUGUUGCAUUCAAGGUUAAAACAACUUCCCCAAAAAGAUAUUGUGUUCGACCAAAUAUUGGAGUUAUUCUUCCAAGGGCAACUAUGGCUUUUACAGGUGCGUGUAGUCUUCCACUGGCCGAUUUACUGGAAGGUAUGAUUAUUUUGAAGUGA
RNAcentral lists this ribosomal RNA (441 nucleotides) under Triticum aestivum (bread wheat). RNAcentral describes it as "partial small subunit ribosomal RNA". Lineage: Eukaryota; Viridiplantae; Streptophyta; Magnoliopsida; Poales; Poaceae. The record is from RNAcentral.